Molecule: non-coding RNA, 859 nt
Organism: Paramuricea clavata
Lineage: Eukaryota; Metazoa; Cnidaria; Anthozoa; Malacalcyonacea; Plexauridae
Source: the annotation of a GenBank genome assembly
CUACGGGUUAGGGUUAAUCCGGCUAUGCAGGCCUUAAAAUAUCGGUCGGUCAUGGACAUUGUCCGACCAUUAGUGAAAUUGUCUGACGUAGAGAGGAAACCACCAGACAUUCUGUCCGACCAAAGUGAAAUUGAGGUUUAUUGUUUGUCCGACCUGAGUGUAUUUCUGCCCGACCGAACUGUAACUUUGACCAACGUAAAUCAAAAUGUACCCUAUCCCAGGACUAGAGGCUCGUAUGUUAAAUGGAAAAUCCGAGUACUAUAGACCUUAUUCAUAAAUCGUGAUGAGGCCUCGUAUCCUAGGAAACGGGGAAAACGCGGGGAAGCUCUGCAGCUUAAUGGGUUAAAUUAGGGUAUGUAAGUGCUAAUGGUAACUGAGACAUGCACACACAGUCUGUUAAUCCAUCACAACAUCACAUCUUAAUGGGUUCAUGGAAUACCGUAAAUCUCGAACUAUAAACCCUGGGCUAUAUAUUUAUAUUUCAGUACACACCGUGCACGCGUGUUUUCCAAAAUCGGCGUAGGGUGUGUUAUCUAACACACCAAGAUGUGUUUUGCAAAUUAGUAUGAGGUGUGUUCUCGAACACACCAAGGUGUGUUUUCAUUCAAAAGGUGUGUUAUUGAACACACCUUAUAUGCAUCAAAGGUGUGUAAGAAAAGGUGUGUAAAAUACAGGUGUGUUUCUUAGCACACCUAGGUGUGUUUUGUUACACACCAUAGUGUGUUUUCUAACACAUCAUGGUGUGUUUUCUAACACACAAAGGUGUGUUUUCUAAAAUUGUAUAGGAAGGUGUGUAAAAUGUACACACCUUGGUGUGUAAUUAAACACACCUUGGUGUGUAAUUAAACACACCUUGGUG